UACGUAGGUGGCGAGCGUUGUCCGGAUUUACUGGGCGUAAAGAGCGCGCAGGCGGUCGUUCAAGUCGCGUGUGAAAGCCCCCGGCUCAACUGGGGAGGGUCACGCGAUACUGAUCGACUCGAAGGCAGGAGAGGGAAGUGGAAUUCCCGGUGUAGUGGUGAAAUGCGUAGAUAUCGGAAGGAACAUCAGUGGCGAAAGCGACUUCCUGGACCAAUACUGACGCUCAUGUGCGAAAGCGUGGGGAGCAAACAGG
This 253-nucleotide ribosomal RNA is filed under the name uncultured bacterium. Its description in RNAcentral is "partial 16S ribosomal RNA". It matches the Rfam family "Bacterial small subunit ribosomal RNA", at positions 524 to 776 of the family's 1533-position model. The record is from RNAcentral.